RNAcentral lists this ribosomal RNA (253 nucleotides) under uncultured bacterium. RNAcentral describes it as "partial 16S ribosomal RNA". It matches the Rfam family "Bacterial small subunit ribosomal RNA", at positions 524 to 776 of the family's 1533-position model. The record is from RNAcentral.
UACGGAGGGGGCAAGCGUUGCUCGGAAUCACUGGGCGUAAAGGGUGCGUAGGCGGGUCUUUAAGUCAGGGGUGAAAUCCUGGAGCUCAACUCCAGAACUGCCUUUGAUACUGAAGAUCUUGAGUUCGGGAAAGGUGAGUGGAACUGCGAGUGUAGAGGUGAAAUUCGUAGAUAUUCGCAAGAACACCAGUGGCGAAGGCGGCUCACUGGCCCGAUACUGACGCUGAGGCACGAAAGCGUGGGGAGCAAACAGG